UAUAUAUAUAUAUAUAUAUAUAUAUACUACUUUGGGAAGCUGUGUGUGGUCGUUGAAGCUAGCUUAUAUGUGUGUGUGUGGAUAGUGAUGAAUUAAAAGAGAAAAAGGUAUUGGGGCGUCUCAAUCUAAAUACAAGGCUAAGACGAAUGAUAAAAUAAUUAGCUGAGUAAUUUGAUUGAGCCGCGUCAAUAUCUCCUUUUUCUUUACACUUUUCCAUCUCCACAAUUUUAUAUAGCUACCUCUCUGCCUCAGCCAAAUAAUUUCUCCAGGUAUGUGCUGAUUCUUUUUUUUUUUUUUUGACAUUUGGUGAUUCUUUAUAAUAUCUUAUUACUCUUAUAUUCUCAAAUAAUUCUGUUUAUAUUUUUAUGUACAUGGUAUAUUCUUAAUUAUUUUACUUUUUCCUUAUAAAUAUAAUAGGAUUAUGCGUUUGAUUUUCUUUAUAAUAAUGAUAUAAAAAGUCCCUAUAUACAUCAAAAUUGGGAUUAUAUAUAUACACGCGCAUCAUAUAUAUAGCUAUGAUUCAUGUAUAUAUUAUCACUUAUAUAUAUAUCAUAUAACUAUGGUUUUAAAAGUCCUUAUUGCCUAUAAUUAAGAUCCUGGAUUUUCUUGGAUGUAUACUAAGAUGUAUAUAUAUGUAGAUAUCAAAUAAAUAUUAUUGGCGGACAGAAACUAUAUAUAUAUUUGUUAGUUCAUUUAUUUCGUGGUACAAUAUUAUUCAUUAAUGUAAUAUGGGUUUUAUGUCACUUAUUAUAUAUUUCAAAGAUUCCUCUCUGACAUUUUAAAAAGAAAAAUCCAAGAAAUUAAUCAAUAUAGAAACGACAUAUACAUAUAGCCAUCUCUUUUUUUUUUUUUUUGUAAGCAUACAGCCAUUUCUUGGAUAUAUAUCAGCUUAAUUUCAUAAUAUAAAUUAGGGUUAAUAAUAAAGGGGGUCGUAUAUUGAGAGAUAAUUAGGACUAUAUAAACUAUACAUCCGAUGCAUGUGUAUAUCUCUUUAUAUAUAGCUUUAAUUAUAUCUGAAUUAACGAUAUUAUUCAAAAGAGUAGGUAUAAGACGUUUAUCAAGUAUAACAGAGCCUAACUAACUGAUGAGUUCAUGAUUAAUAAACUACUCAUCAUAGAUCAACAAUAAGUUAAUUUUAAAUUAAGCAGUACUACAAAAAGGAAAUUUAGCAACAGUUAUGUAGCAACACUACAAACAAAAGUGUUACUAAAUAUGCUAUUUUUUUAAUUAUAAAGACUUGUUUGAAAAAAGUGUUGCCAAAUCUCUAUUUAGUUAGAUUUUUCAUUUAUUUAUUUAUUUUAGUAGUUUAUUAAAAAUAUCAAGUACAACACUUCUAAAUAAGCGAUGCGAUUUCAAUUUACACCAUUAAAAUAGCAACAGUUUUUAUAAAAGUGUGUCUAAUGAUAUUUUUAAGUAAUUUUUUUUCUAGUAAUAAUUAAUAAUAAUAUAUUUUUUAAAAACUAAAUUAAGAACACGUACUCAAGUACAUAUUCUAAUAACUGCUCAUACUUCUUUCGUGCUAAAUUUCCCAUUCCUGCGCAUAAAGAACUUGGUUUCCUCUGGUUUUCUUUAUGCUGCUGGUAAGCUCUUUUGAAAGUUUUCAAAGCUUCAUCCUCACUCUCCCAUCAGAAUUGAAGGUGAUCUUCUUUAGAAAGGUUGAAAGGUCACUCCCAUUCAACCCUUCUCUGGUUUUUAAACUUUUUCUUAUUUUCUCGUAUGUCGUAUGCUUAGGGUGUUCUACUUUUUAGUUGAAAAUUGUAAGUUUAAUAUUUAUAAUGAUUACUUAUAAUUUUUACUAACCAUGGUUCAAAGAGACAGUGCUUCUAUAUUUUACGAGGACUAUUGAGGAAAGAAGAACAAAUUAAAUUUAAAGAAUGAGAGACAAUAGAGCAGAGUAAAUUUCAAACCAAUUAAACUAAGCAAGGGCACAAGAAAACAAGUUCAAGAGGAUAUGAUAUAAUCCACCUCCACAGAGUUCAGAAAAAUCAAAGAAAGACACAACAAAGCCCAUGCAGCAAGCUUUGCCAGUGAUUCGGAUGGACUAAUUGCAGUUUGAUGAAGAGAGUGGACAACACAUUAUUUCUAUGAAUUUUUUGUUUUUAUUUCAUUUAAUUGUCUUGCAAAUCAAAGUGAUAAAUUAGAAAUUCACAUUGUCGAUAUACACAAUUUGACAUAUUUACUGUCUUCAUUGUAAUAGUUUAUGUAGAGCUUUGUAAUACUUAAAUAAUUUUGUAUUAAUUUUAAAUUAUGUUCUAUAACUUUUACAUUUAAUGCGAAAAAAUUUAUGCAAAUUCUAUUUGAUGUACGU
This is a long non-coding RNA of Cannabis sativa, 2308 nucleotides long. RefSeq lists it as uncharacterized. The record is from RefSeq and is a predicted model, not a curated record. The transcript has 3 exons. NCBI's taxonomy places the organism in Eukaryota, Viridiplantae, Streptophyta, Magnoliopsida, Rosales, Cannabaceae.